GUGAAUCAUCGAGUCUUUGAACGCACCUUGCGCUCUCAGGUAUUCCGGAGAGCAUGUCUGUUUGAGUGUCAUGAACUCUUCAACCUACCGAUUUCUAGUAAAUCGGAUUAGUGUUUGGAUUUUGAACGCUUGCUGGCCUUUAUUGGCGAAGCUCGUUCGUAAAUGAUUAGCAUCUCAUAUUCGAAAAUCGGAUUGACUCAGUGUAAUAGAUCUAUUCGCUGAGGACGCUCUUUCGGGAGUGGCCGAGUUUUGUAAAGUAGAAGCUUCUAAUUCUAUUAGUCAACUUUAGAUUAGACCUCAGAUCAGGCAGGAUUACCCGCUGAACUUAAGCAUAUCAAUAAGGCGAGG
This 348-nucleotide ribosomal RNA is filed under the name uncultured fungus. Its description in RNAcentral is "eukaryotic LSU rRNA". The stretch from base 1 to 71 matches the Rfam family "5.8S ribosomal RNA", at positions 84 to 154 of the family's 154-position model. The record is from RNAcentral. Lineage: Eukaryota; Fungi.